Molecule: long non-coding RNA, 790 nt
Filed under: Fukomys damarensis (Damara mole-rat)
Lineage: Eukaryota; Metazoa; Chordata; Mammalia; Rodentia; Bathyergidae
Description: lncRNA (ENSFDAG00000030148.1)
Source: RNAcentral
CCCAGCCACCCCGACCCCCAACCCAAGGGGUCCCCGACUCGCACUUCUGGCUCCCGAGGGGUGGGGCGGGGCCGCGCGGGACCUCGGCCCCGGAGUCCCCAUCCUGUCCUACUCCAGCCCAGACCUUCGCUGUCCACACCUCGUGCCAAGCGGGAGGGUCCCGACCUCAUUCCUGGACCUCCCCACCUGCCGCCCGAGGAGGAGAGAGGCAGGCCCCGCGGCGCUGGAAGACCAGGGAGGCUCAGCCUGCUGCUGGCUACAGAGGUCGGUCAAUGGAUGGUCACCAGCUCUCCAUGCUGUCGACAAGGAAACACACAGUCCUUCCCAAGAGAGUGAACAGAAACCUCUUCUGCCUCUGCAGCCCACCGGAGGGAUGAGACCAGCGGGUUCUGCCAGGCCCCAGCCUUCUUUCUACACCAGAAUAUUCUCCCUCUGAGGAACUAGGAGAGGGGCAGCCUUUCUCACCAGCCUGAGUCCUCAGGGUUGAGAGAAGGACUCUCGGAAUUCCUGUCCCAAGUUCACCAGCACAGUGGGGUGCAUGUCCCUCCUCAGGUCAUCUGUUGCCCUGGCCACUUUUGCUUGACACACAGGACUAGCUGUCCUCAAUUUCUGUAAGUACUCCAUGUCAGAGGAUUUCUUUGAGGUAUUUUCCCAAAUUAAUUUUUAACCAUUUUUUUUGUUGUGGUAAAAUAUACAUAAACAUUAAAUUAGCUGGGCGUGGCGGGGCACACCUGAGUGCGCUUGAGCGUUUUUUGUGGCUGAUUUAUUUCUCCUUGUAUGAAAUCCUCAA